Pan troglodytes (chimpanzee) is the source of this 583-nucleotide long non-coding RNA. RefSeq lists it as uncharacterized. Lineage: Eukaryota; Metazoa; Chordata; Mammalia; Primates; Hominidae. The record is from RefSeq and is a predicted model, not a curated record. The transcript is spliced from 2 exons.
GCCACCCUGGACUCAGGGACAGGAUUUAUGGGCAGACAUUGUUAGGAGAACAGAUGUUCGGGCAGGCAGGCCUGGGACCCGCUGGAGGGAGUCAAGAAGACACUACCUCCUAAUUAAUAGGCGGUAAAUGUCUGAGGAACAGACUCCUGUCCCAUUUCUUCAAACAUCUGGGGUUCCGGACACUUAGGCCCUCUGCCAGGAGACAUGAAUCUGGGGAUUAAAAGUUUCUGUGCUUUUCUUCAAACAGAACAAUCCUAAAACCACAUACUCUGAAAGUAUCAUUGAAACUGACCGAGAAGAGAAUCCUCAGCCAGAUUUUCCAUGGAGAACCAGACCUGUCUAAACCAGUAUGAGCUUUCAUUACAGUAAAGUAAUGGCAAAAGAAGCCUCGGGGCAGACAAUUCCAGAUUCACUAUUUAAGUGGCCUUAGGUGACUGGAUUCACCUCUCUGAGCCUCCAUUUUUCUCAUAUGAAAGACAGGAAGAGUGCUACCACCUUUCAGUUUAAAAGGAAGAUUACAAAAAAGGAUAAAGCUCUUCCUACAUAGCAGGAGCUCAAUAAACAGCAUCUAUUACCAUCAUGA